RNAcentral lists this ribosomal RNA (499 nucleotides) under uncultured bacterium. RNAcentral describes it as "bacterial SSU rRNA". It matches the Rfam family "Bacterial small subunit ribosomal RNA", at positions 31 to 518 of the family's 1533-position model. The record is from RNAcentral.
GAACGCUGGCGGCAGGCCUAACACAUGCAAGUCGAACGGUAACAGGAAGCAGCUUGCUGCUUCGCUGACGAGUGGCGGACGGGUGAGUAAUGUCUGGGAAACUGCCUGAUGGAGGGGGAUAACUACUGGAAACGGUAGCUAAUACCGCAUAACGUCGCAAGACCAAAGAGGGGGACCUUCGGGCCUCUUGCCAUCAGAUGUGCCCAGAUGGGAUUAGCUUGUUGGUGGGGUAACGGCUCACCAAGGCGACGAUCCCUAGCUGGUCUGAGAGGAUGACCCAGCCACACUGGAACUGAGACACGGUCCAGACUCCUACGGGAGGCAGCAGUGGGGAAUAUUGCACAAUGGGCGCAAGCCUGAUGCAGCCAUGCCGCGUGUAUGAAGAAGGCCUUCGGGUUGUAAAGUACUUUCAGCGGGGAGGAAGGUGUUGUGGUUAAUAACCGCAGCAAUUGACGUUACCCGCAGAAGAAGCACCGGCUAACUCCGUGCCAGCAGCCGC